RNAcentral lists this ribosomal RNA (252 nucleotides) under uncultured bacterium. RNAcentral describes it as "partial 16S ribosomal RNA". It matches the Rfam family "Bacterial small subunit ribosomal RNA", at positions 524 to 776 of the family's 1533-position model. The record is from RNAcentral.
UACGGGGGGGCAAGCGUUGUUCGGAAUUCCUGGGCGUAAAGGGCUCGUAGGCGGCCAACUAAGUCGGAUGUGAAAUCCCCAGGCUUAACCUGGGAACUGCAUCCGAUACUGGAUGGCUUGAAUCCGGGAGAGGGAUGCAGAAUUCCAGGUGUAGCGGUGAAAUGCGUAGAUAUCUGGAGGAACACCGGUGGCGAAGGCGGGUCUCUGGGCAGUAACUGACGCUGAGGAGCGAAAGCGUGGGGAGCGAACAGG